Molecule: ribosomal RNA, 804 nt
Filed under: uncultured Gammaproteobacteria bacterium
Lineage: Bacteria; Pseudomonadati; Pseudomonadota; Gammaproteobacteria
Description: bacterial SSU rRNA
Rfam family: Bacterial small subunit ribosomal RNA
Source: RNAcentral
GGCGGUAGGCUUAACACAUGCAAGUCGUGCGAGAAAGUAUCUUCGGAUAUGAGUAGAGCGGCGGACGGGUGAGUAACGCGUAGGAAUCUACCUAGUAGAAGGGGAUAGCCCGGGGAAACCCGGAUUAAUACCGUAUACCUCCUUCGGGAGAAAGAAGGCCUCUCUUUGAAGCUUUCGCUACUAGAUGAGCCUGCGUAAGAUUAGCUUGUUGGUGAGGUAAAGGCUCACCAAGGCGACGAUCUUUAGCUGGUCUGAGAGGACGAUCAGCCACAUUGGGACUGAGACACGGCCCAGACUCCUACGGGAGGCAGCAGUGGGGAAUAUUGGACAAUGGGCGCAAGCCUGAUCCAGCCAUACCGCGUGUGUGAAGAAGGCCUUCGGGUUGUAAAGCACUUUAAGCAGGGAGAAAAAGUUAUAAGUUAAUACCUUAUAACCCUGAUGUUACCUGCAGAAUAAGCACCGGCUAAUUCCGUGCCAGCAGCCGCGGUAAUACGGAAGGUGCAAGCGUUAAUCGGAAUUACUGGGCGUAAAGCGCGCGUAGGUGGUUUGUUAAGUUGGAUGUGAAAGCCCUGGGCUCAACCUAGGAACUGCAUCCAAAACUAACUCACUAGAGUACGAUAGAGGGAGGUAGAAUUCAUAGUGUAGCGGUGGAAUGCGUAGAUAUUAUGAAGAAUACCAGUGGCGAAGGCGGCCUCCUGGAUCUGUACUGACACUGAGGUGCGAAAGCGUGGGUAGCGAACAGGAUUAGAUACCCUGGUAGUCCACGCCGUAAACGAUGACAACUAGCUGUUGGGAGACUAUGUC